ACCGGCGGCUCGAGUGGUGGCCACUAUUACUGGGCUUAAAGCGUUCGUAGCUGGCUUGUUAAGUCUCUGGGGAAAUCUUCCGGCUCAACCGGAAGGCGUCUCAGGGAUACUGGCAGGCUAGGGACCGGAAGAGGUGAGAGGUACUCCAGGGGUAGAGGGGAAACCCGGUAACCCUUGGGGGACCACCGGGGGGGAGGGCGCCUCCCCGGGCGGGUUCGGAAAUUGAGGACGGAAAGUUGGGGAGCAAACCG
This 251-nucleotide ribosomal RNA is filed under the name uncultured prokaryote. Its description in RNAcentral is "partial 16S rRNA". It matches the Rfam family "Archaeal small subunit ribosomal RNA", at positions 475 to 726 of the family's 1478-position model. The record is from RNAcentral.